UAAAGACGGAUCAUCA
This 16-nucleotide small RNA is filed under the name Arabidopsis thaliana (thale cress). RNAcentral's name for it is "ATSL068110". Lineage: Eukaryota; Viridiplantae; Streptophyta; Magnoliopsida; Brassicales; Brassicaceae. The record is from RNAcentral.